GCCCUCGUAGCUUAAAUGGAUAAAGCUUUUCACUGACGAAGAAAAAGAUGCGGGUUCGAAUCCCGCCGAGGGUG
This 74-nucleotide transfer RNA is filed under the name Omnitrophica WOR_2 bacterium RIFCSPHIGHO2_02_FULL_52_10. Its description in RNAcentral is "tRNA-Val". It matches the Rfam family "tRNA". Rfam says of the family: Transfer RNA (tRNA) molecules are approximately 80 nucleotides in length. Their secondary structure includes four short double-helical elements and three loops (D, anti-codon, and T loops). Lineage: Bacteria; Pseudomonadati; Candidatus Omnitrophota. The record is from RNAcentral.